This is a non-coding RNA of Microcebus murinus (gray mouse lemur), 1938 nucleotides long. NCBI's taxonomy places the organism in Eukaryota, Metazoa, Chordata, Mammalia, Primates, Cheirogaleidae. The record is from RefSeq and is a predicted model, not a curated record.
CACACAUUUGACCAAGUACAGUCACCCCUCGGUAUCUGUGGAGGAUUGGUUCCAGGGCCUCCAUGAAUACCAAAAUCUGCUGAUGCUCAAGUCCCCAAUAUAAAAUGGCAUAGUAUUUGCAUAUAACCUACACACAACCCCCCUUAUACUCCAAAUCAACUCUAGAGAACUUACAGUACCUGAUACACUGUGAAUGCUAUGUAAAUAGUUGUUAUACUGUAUCAUUUUAUUUGUAUUAUUUUUAUCGUUUUUCCCCCCAAAUAUUUCUGAUCCUCUGUUGGUUGAACCUUUGGAUGGGGAAGCAGAGCUAGCUGUAUGUAGAGCUCCCCAGAGAAUAGGAAGGCACUUGGGGUAGGAAGGAAGGAAGCUGACAUUACAGCCAAAUGCAGUGAGACACCUUGAGGGGCCUGUGGGAGGCAUGUGCAGGGAAGCUGGGGGCACUGGGGUGGGCUGCUCAGUUCCAUCAGAGAGGCAAGAGGGCACCAGAAAACGCUGCUGCCAAGUCACCUUAGAAUUAAGCUGUGGGAGGUGAGAAGGGAUUUGCCCAGUAGAUGGGGAAAGGGCUGGGCUUUCUUGGCAAGGAAAGAAGGUGUGCAGUGACCCCAGGGUGUGUUCCAGCUGUCACAUCCAAGGCUGCCUGGGAACAGAGGAAGUGGGCUAGGGGGCAGUAUCUGGAACGUGGCCAUAUCACGAGGAGUAGAGGAAAUGUUUAGUCAGACUGGUGUUUGGGAAGGUUGACCACUGGCAGUCCGGAGGGGGCACCUCGGGUGGCAGCAAGAUAUGGGCUGGGUUAAGGAGUGACAUCAGUCUGCUGUUGGGGUCCUGAAAUAGACACGGAUGAUGUUUCUGCCUUCUGAGGACUGUUUUUCACCAAGUUCCCCCCCCACCUCAGUGCAACGCAAUGACAAUUUAAAAAUACUCCAAUGCUCCGGGAAUCUGAGGAUGAGUCACUCCUUAGGAUUUCUGCGGAAGUAUUUGACUCAAGCCAUUUGUGAGUCAAGUUGGUGUUCUUUCUUUAGAGAUUUCUUCUCCUUGGAGAGGCUGAUGACUACCCAGAGUUCUUCCUGCCGUUUUGGGGGUCUCAUCUGGUCAGUGACCCCAAUCUCUCUAGCUUGACAUUAUUGCUGAGUGGAGAGUGUCUGUCUUUUCCCCUGUCUCAGGUCCCAGGCAGGACCUGGGUAACUGAGGGGCCGGGGCUGGAGCAUGCCAGGCCCAAGGAGCAUGUUGGCACCUCGAGAGUUCCUGUGUUUCCUCAGAAUCCAAGCUCCAGGGUCCUGCUGUCCCAGGCCUCAGUCCCGAGUCUGUCUUCUGGGGCUCUGGAAUCACAAGGAAGGAACAGCAGACUUCUCUGUGCCUGAGGAUCCCAUGUCAGGAUGGCCCAGGGUCAGGCCAGGACAUGAACACUCCUGCUGCAGUCAGAAGUUGGGGUCUUGCUAUGUUUCACAGUCUGGUCUUGAACUCCAGGACCCAAGCGAUCCUCUCAUCUCGGUCUUUCAAGGUGCUAAGAUUACAGGCAUGAGCCACUGUGUCCCGUUGACAAAAGCCAAUCUUAAAAGGCUACAUACCUCCCUCAUGUCAUUUGAUGUAAAAAAAAAAGAAGAAGAAGAAGAAAAAAAGGCUACAUACCAUAUGACACCAACUAUAUAACAUUCUGGAAAAGGCACAACUAUGGGAACAUUGAAAAGAUCAGUGGUUGCCAGGGGUUUAGGGAAGGGAAGAAUGAACAAGCAGAGUGCAGAGGAUUUUUAGGGCAGUGCAACUACUCUGUAUGAUACUAUAAUGGUGAGGAUAUGUCAUUAUACAUUUGUCCAAACCCAUAGAAUGUACAACACUAAGAGUGAACCCUAAUGUACACUGUGGCUCUGGAUGAUAAUGAUGUGCCAAUGUAGGUUCAUCAGUUGUAACAAAUGUACCACUCUGGGGGAGAUGUUAAUGGUG